RNAcentral lists this non-coding RNA (93 nucleotides) under Acidaminobacter hydrogenoformans DSM 2784. RNAcentral describes it as "c-di-GMP-I riboswitch aptamer". It matches the Rfam family "c-di-GMP-I riboswitch aptamer". From Rfam's summary of the family: GEMM was predicted in a large-scale screen for bacterial structured RNA regulatory elements. Genes associated with GEMM are involved in a diverse array of functions, including chemotaxis regulation, signal transduction, secretion and chitin. The record is from Rfam by way of RNAcentral. Lineage: Bacteria; Bacillati; Bacillota; Clostridia; Peptostreptococcales; Acidaminobacteraceae.
AUACGAAAAAGGCAAACCAGCUGAAAGGCUGGGACGCAAAGCUUAGGAGCCUAAGACCUGGAACUUGGAGGUUAUGGCCGUCCAGCUGCCGUG